This is a non-coding RNA of Ylistrum balloti, 65 nucleotides long. The record is from the annotation of a RefSeq genome assembly. NCBI's taxonomy places the organism in Eukaryota, Metazoa, Mollusca, Bivalvia, Pectinida, Pectinidae.
CGGGGUGAGGUGUAAUAUUUGCACGCUAGACUUGGGUCCUAGAGGUCCUCUUAGGGGCUCCCCGC